UAGGGAAUCUUCGGCAAUGGACGGAAGUCUGACCGAGCAACGCCGCGUGAGUGAAGAAGGUUUUCGGAUCGUAAAGCUCUGUUGUAAGAGAAGAACGAGUGUGAGAGUGGAAAGUUCACACUGUGACGGUAUCUUACCAGAAAGGGACGGCUAACUACGUGCCAGCAGCCGCGGUAAUACGUAGGUCCCGAGCGUUGUCCGGAUUUAUUGGGCGUAAAGCGAGCGCAGGCGGUUAGAUAAGUCUGAAGUUAAAGGCUGUGGCUUAACCAUAGUAGGCUUUGGAAACUGUUUAACUUGAGUGCAAGAGGGGAGAGUGGAAUUCCAUGUGUAGCGGUGAAAUGCGUAGAUAUAUGGAGGAACACCGGUGGCGAAAGCGGCUCUCUGGCUUGUAACUGACGCUGAGGCUCGAAAGCGUGGGGAGCAAACAGGAUUAGAUACCCUGGUAGUCCACGCUAUAAACGAUGAGUGCUAGGUGUUAGACCCUUUCCGGGGUUUAGUGCCGUAGCUAACGCAUUAAGCACUCCGCCUGGGGAGUACGACCGCAAGGUUG
RNAcentral lists this ribosomal RNA (550 nucleotides) under uncultured bacterium. RNAcentral describes it as "bacterial SSU rRNA". It matches the Rfam family "Bacterial small subunit ribosomal RNA", at positions 355 to 896 of the family's 1533-position model. The record is from RNAcentral.